Hordeum vulgare subsp. vulgare (domesticated barley) is the source of this 413-nucleotide long non-coding RNA. RefSeq lists it as uncharacterized. The record is from RefSeq and is a predicted model, not a curated record. The transcript is spliced from 3 exons. NCBI's taxonomy places the organism in Eukaryota, Viridiplantae, Streptophyta, Magnoliopsida, Poales, Poaceae.
UGUUGAUCUGCAACCAUUCAUAAACUUCUUGAGGAGGAACAAUCUGCAGACGGAAUUCUUUUCUAUUGGACCAAACCAAUAUUUGGUCAACUCAAUCCACGAGCACUGGUUUUGUGCUCGUUGUGUUAACACAACACAGCCAUGAGGUGAAGGAGUUAUAGUUAUGCAGAUUGGAGCUUACUUGUUAGUAUCUAUGUAUGACGGUUUUGUUGGUUCGGCUUCACAAGCAAUGGUGGCUGUUGAUCAGUUUGCAUGGCACUUCAACCGGAGAGCACAUUAACUUGUGGUGUAGACUCAUGGCCUUAUAGUGUACUGUAUAACCAGACAUGCUGCUUAAUUUUACUGUUGUAUUGUGAUCAGUAGGUAUGUAGUGAAAUAACUAAGAUUCUAUUAAAUGUAGUUGAAUUCAAUCA